AACUAAACGGGAUUACAGUGGCAGCUCCCGAUUUUCCUUCAAAAUCGGGACUAUAAUGAAAAGCCAGACGAACA
Molecule: small RNA, 74 nt
Filed under: Pedobacter alluvionis
Lineage: Bacteria; Pseudomonadati; Bacteroidota; Sphingobacteriia; Sphingobacteriales; Sphingobacteriaceae
Description: Flavo-1 RNA
Source: RNAcentral